GGUUCUAUGGUCUAGUCGGUUAUGACGGAUGCCUCACAUCUUGAACGCAUCAGGUUCCCGGUUCGAUCCCGGGUGGAAUCA
Athelia psychrophila is the source of this 81-nucleotide non-coding RNA. NCBI's taxonomy places the organism in Eukaryota, Fungi, Basidiomycota, Agaricomycetes, Atheliales, Atheliaceae. The record is from the annotation of a GenBank genome assembly.